This 472-nucleotide ribosomal RNA is filed under the name uncultured bacterium. RNAcentral's name for it is "bacterial SSU rRNA". It matches the Rfam family "Bacterial small subunit ribosomal RNA", at positions 335 to 803 of the family's 1533-position model. The record is from RNAcentral.
ACUCCUACGGGAGGCAGCAGUGGGGAAUAUUGGACAAUGGGCGAAAGCCUGAUCCAGCCAUGCCGCGUGUGUGAAGAAGGCCCUCGGGUUGUAAAGCACUUCAGUGAGGAAGAACGCUUGUGGGCUAAUACCCUGCAAGGAAGACAUCACUCACAGAAGAAGCACCGGCUAACUCCGUGCCAGCAGCCGCGGUAAUACGGAGGGUGCGAGCGUUAAUCGGAAUUACUGGGCGUAAAGCGCGCGUAGGCGGCUUGAUAAGCCGGUUGUGAAAGCCCCGGGCUCAACCUGGGAACGGCAUCCGGAACUGUCAGGCUAGAGUGCAGGAGAGGAAGGUAGAAUUCCCGGUGUAGCGGUGAAAUGCGUAGAGAUCGGGAGGAAUACCAGUGGCGAAGGCGGCCUUCUGGACUGACACUGACGCUGAGGUGCGAAAGCGUGGGUAGCAAACAGGAUUAGAUACCCUGGUAGGCGUAGU